This 677-nucleotide ribosomal RNA is filed under the name Glomus sp. rp39. Its description in RNAcentral is "eukaryotic LSU rRNA". It matches the Rfam family "Eukaryotic large subunit ribosomal RNA", at positions 58 to 632 of the family's 3401-position model. The record is from RNAcentral. Lineage: Eukaryota; Fungi; Glomeromycota; Glomeromycetes; Glomerales; Glomeraceae.
AAAGAAACUAACAAGGAUUCCCCUAGUAACGGCGAGUGAAGAGGGAAGAGCUCAAAUUUUAAAUCUGCCUUGUUUCAAGGUCGAGUUGUAAUUUGAAGAAGCGUUUUCUUGGGCUCGCGGCCGGCAUGCGUUCAUUUACAAUACCAUCUACGAUACGCUUUCAAAGAGUCGAGUUGUUUGGUAUUACAACUCCAAAUGGGUGGUAAAUAUCACCUAAGGCUAAAUAUUGGCGAGAGACCGAUAGCGAACAAGUACCGUGAGGGAAAGAUGAAAAGAACUUUGAAAAGAGAGUUAAACAGUACGUGAAAUUGUUGAAAGGGAAACGAUUGAAGUCAGUCGUGCUGGCGCGAAAUCAACCCUCUCGUCGAGAGGACACAUGGCGUGGCGAGCCUCAACCGUCACGAAGCGUGAACUCUUGGCGAAGAGGAGCACUUUCGUGUCCGCUGGUUAACAUCAAUUUCGAACGUCAUAAAAAGGCUGGAGGGAUGUGGCUCCUUCGGGAGUGUUAUAACCUUUAGCGGAAUGUGGUGGUCGGGAUUGAGGAUUGCAACGAAUACCUUUAGGGCUGUUCCACCUGGCCUCUCUUUGGUAUCCUGGUGACGACAGCUUGCUGACGUUGUUAGGAUUCGCCAUUGAACAGGCUAGAGUGUGAGCAAAUUCGUUAAGGAUGUGACGUA